This is a non-coding RNA of Aedes albopictus (Asian tiger mosquito), 74 nucleotides long. The record is from Rfam. Lineage: Eukaryota; Metazoa; Arthropoda; Insecta; Diptera; Culicidae.
GGCUCUGUAGCUUUGAGGAAAGAAGCGCCCGUCUGGCGAACUGGGAGUCGUGGGUUCAACUCCCACCGGGGCAC